CGUGUCUUUAAUUUAAAAAAAAUGUAAGAUCAUGUAUCGCCAUUUUCUUCUCCUCUUACAAUUUUCUUCACUUUUUCAUUAACUGUCAUAGUUAAUCUCCAUUUGUUUUGACGCCGAAGCUCUCCGUUCUACGUCCAAAUUCUGAAUUUGAUAACCAAACUAGACCGACAAACGUUUCUCGUAUUUUCUUCUAAUUGGAAGAUUCACUGCCACGUGGAAAGAUCGGAGCCGACAUAGUUCCUUUUGGUGGAAUUGAAACGAAGCAGCUUAGUAUUAGCCACACUAGGCGUUGAAGGAGAGGGAGUCUCGCUGAUAAUUCGAAGUGAUUUUUCAAAAAAGUGCAUGAAAAGGAGUAACAGGAAUGGAAGGUUUCUUAGAAUUAGUGUUAGGGUUAGAUUUGAGGGGUUUCUCCUUUAGAAAGAGUAGAAACAUGAGAGGUUUUAGAAAAGAAUGAGGUGAUUUGAGUUGUGGAUUCAUCAGCGGUGAUCUGCCCUUGGUCGAUUUUUGCGCUUGACGAAGAAGAAAACGAAAAAGAGGUGAAACAACAGAAUUAAUCGGGUUCAAAGAGUUUCCGAUCUUCAGUAUAAAUGUUUUAUUAUGUCUUUAGUUUUAUUCACACUUGGCCUGUCAAUUUCUGUCUCGACAAGGGAGCAUAUCUAAAGAAUUAUAUGGUAAGAGAGAUCUGGCCGGAACUAGCGAAAGCAAAAUGCAUAGAGUGGGACCAAAUAUUUACGAAGCGUUCAUGGAAACGCCAAAGCUUUUGUUGUGGCAAUGAGUCCAGUGAGCUUGGUUUUAUUAUGAUGGCAUUAAGCUUUUACAUUUUAAUGCUUAGGCAACGGCCAUUUGCUUGCUUAUUUUGAUAUUUACUGCAGUUACCACUUAUAUGAUUCAUUCAUGCUUUGCUCGGAGAAGCAUGUGAUAAUGCUCUUAAGAAAAAAUGUUUCCUAUAUAAUGGCCUAACAGAAGGAUUCUGGGAAAUGCUGCCCAUUAUAAUUUUUUUUUUUAUAAUAUAAGCGUUAAAUUAUGAUACACUAUAGAUACAUGUUUGAUGUACAAUUUAUACAUUGUAAUUUUUAUAUUAAAAUAGAUGGAUUAUUAAAAUUAUAUUUAAUAUGUAUUAUUUAUGUAUUGUAGAUUUAUUAUUAAAAUUAUAUUUAAUAUAUAUUAUUUGUGUA
Mercurialis annua (annual mercury) is the source of this 1175-nucleotide long non-coding RNA. RefSeq lists it as uncharacterized. NCBI's taxonomy places the organism in Eukaryota, Viridiplantae, Streptophyta, Magnoliopsida, Malpighiales, Euphorbiaceae. The transcript has 2 exons. The record is from RefSeq and is a predicted model, not a curated record.